Betta splendens (Siamese fighting fish) is the source of this 641-nucleotide long non-coding RNA. RefSeq lists it as uncharacterized. Lineage: Eukaryota; Metazoa; Chordata; Actinopteri; Anabantiformes; Osphronemidae. The transcript is spliced from 3 exons. The record is from RefSeq and is a predicted model, not a curated record.
GGCACGGGGGGUAAAUAGUCAGACGCUGAAGACGCAUUGGGGAUCGGGGGAUAAUCCACAGGAGCAUUGGGGAGAAACUUAGUCCUCUGUUUAGCUCCUUCCUCUUUUAUCCUGGAGACGUGUCGCUCCCUGGGAACGGGUCUUUCUCGUUCUCUGGGCACUGGUCUCAUGACCUCUCCGUCCCUUUGCCUAGGAACAGGCUUUUCUUCCACUGGGGAAGGAGAGAGUGUCUGUCUGUGCAACACUUGGUAGUGACCUUUUCCCUCUAGUCUCUGAGUGUCACAGUGUGCACUACGACAGUAUGUAUCAGACUGCGUAUCGCAAUUACCAUGUGUUUUGCUCAGACUGGCCAGGAUGCGCCUCUGGUGACCCGGCAGGGUGAUGCCCAUCUGCUCCAGCUGAUCUGGGUUGCAGGAACAGGACAACAGAAAAGGAAAGAGAAGCCAGCAGCCGAGCUGACAGGUGCAUUGGGUCUCUGCAUCACACAACUGAAUAUCCCAGUGCUGCAAUGAAUCUACUGCCGCUGAUUUCUCUUGGAUGAAGUUUCCGAUUCUGCUGGGUUUUAGCUAAAUGAAGAAUCUGUGGCUUUUUAACAAGUGUCUGCUUUGAUUCAAAAUAAAAAGCUGCUAAACGACUUUAAA